CUGCUCCUACGGGGGGCAGCAGUGGGGGAUAUUGCACAAUGGGGGGAACCCUGAUGCAGCGACGCCGCGUGGGUGAAGGAGCGUUUCGGCGCGUAAAGCCCUAUCGGCAGGGAAGAAGCAAGACGGUACCUGACUAAGAAGCCCCGGCUAACUACGUGCCAGCAGCCGCGGUAAUACGUAGGGGGCGAGCGUUAUCCGGAUUCACUGGGUGUAAAGGGAGCGUAGACGGCCAAGCAAGCCAGGGGUGAAAGCCCGGGGCCCAACCCCGGGACCGCCCUUGGAACUGCUUGGCUGGGGG
Molecule: ribosomal RNA, 298 nt
Filed under: uncultured bacterium
Lineage: Bacteria
Description: partial 16S ribosomal RNA
Rfam family: Bacterial small subunit ribosomal RNA
Source: RNAcentral